This 388-nucleotide ribosomal RNA is filed under the name uncultured bacterium. RNAcentral's name for it is "bacterial SSU rRNA". It matches the Rfam family "Bacterial small subunit ribosomal RNA", at positions 30 to 429 of the family's 1533-position model. The record is from RNAcentral.
AUUGAACGCUGGCGGAAUGCUUAACACAUGCAAGUCGAGCGGGCUGUAGCAAUACAGCUAGCGGCGGACGGGUGAGGAAUACAUAGGAAUCUGCCUCAGAGUGGGGGAUAGCCCGGGGAAACCCGGAUUAAUACCGCAUGAUGUCGUAAGACCAAAGCAGGGGACCGUAAGGCCUUGCGCUUUGAGAUGAGCCUAUGUCGGAUUAGCUAGUUGGCGGGGUAAAAGCCCACCAAGGCGACGAUCCGUAGCUGGUCUGAGAGGACGAUCAGCCACACCGGAACUGAGACACGGUCCGGACUCCUACGGGAGGCAGCAGUGGGGAAUAUUGGACAAUGGGCGCAAGCCUGAUCCAGCAAUUCCGCGUGUGUGAAGAAGGCCUCGGUGUAAG